ACUCCUACGGGAGGCAGCAGUGAGGAAUAUUGGGCAAUGCCCGCAAGGGUGACCCAGCAACGCCGCGUGGAGGAUGACAGCCGUAAGGUUGUAAACUCCUGUUCGGGGGGACGAAUAACCGUCGUUUGCAAAGGCGACGGCUUGACGGUACCCUCAGAGAAAGCCCCGGCUAACUACGUGCCAGCAGCCGCGGUAAUACGUAGGGGGCAAACGUUGUCCGGAUUUACUGGGUGUAAAGGGCGCGCAGGCCGGUCGGUCAGUCAGAGGUGAAAGCCCACAGCUUAACUGUGGAACUGCCUUUGAUACUGCCGAUCUUGAGUGCGGGAGAGAGAAGCGGAAUUCCAGGUGUAGUGGUGAAAUACGUAGAUAUCUGGAAGAACACCGGUUGCGAAGGCGGCUUCUUGGACCGACACUGACGCUGAGGCGCGAAAGCGUGGGUAGCGAACAGGAUUAGAUACCCUGGUAGUCCACGCUGUAAACGAUGAAUGUUAGAUGUCGGGGGAUUUUUCCUUCGGCGUCAAAGUUAACGCAUUAAACAUUCCACCUGGGAAGUACGAUCGCAAGGUUGAAACUCAAAGGAAUUGACGGGGGCCCGCACAAGCAGUGGAGCAUGUGGUUUAAUUCGAUGCAACGCGAAGAACCUUACCUAGGCUUGAAAUGUGUUCGAUCGGUCGUGAAAGCGACCUUCCUUCGGGCGGACACACAGGUGCUGCAUGGCUGUCGUCAGCUCGUGCCGCGAGGUGUUGGGUUAAGUCCCGCAACGAGCGCAACCCCUACCAUUAGUUGCCACCGGGUAAUGCCGAGCACUCUAAUGGAACUGCCUUACGCAAGUAGUGAGGAAGGUGGGGACGACGUCAAGUCCGCAUGGCCCUUACGCCUAGGGCUACACACGUGCUACAAUGGGCGCAACAAUGGGCAGCGAUACCGCGAGGUGGAGCGAAUCCCUAAAAAGCGUCCUCAGUUCGGAUUGGAGUCUGCAACUCGACUUCAUGAAGUUGGAAUUGCUAGUAAUCGCGUAUCAGCAUGACGCGGUGAAUACGUUCCCGGGCNUUGUACACACCGCCCGUCAAGCCAUGGAAGCCGGGGGUACCCAAAGAUAGCGACCCAACCUUCGGGAAGGAACUAUUUAA
This 1130-nucleotide ribosomal RNA is filed under the name uncultured organism. Its description in RNAcentral is "bacterial SSU rRNA". It matches the Rfam family "Bacterial small subunit ribosomal RNA", at positions 335 to 1460 of the family's 1533-position model. The record is from RNAcentral.